This 1336-nucleotide long non-coding RNA is filed under the name Physcomitrium patens. RNAcentral's name for it is "long non-coding RNA (PPAT_LNC004095)". Lineage: Eukaryota; Viridiplantae; Streptophyta; Bryopsida; Funariales; Funariaceae. The record is from RNAcentral.
AAAAAAAAGGGAUCAAACCAAAACAAGAACUAAAAAUACCAAAAAUUAGACAUGUACUACAUUAAAAGAAAUUGUUUUCUUGAAAACCUUGUUGGAAAUUUAUCUAAUGUUUCAAAUCAACCCUUCUCACACAACUGUUUUAAAGAAAUAGCACACAGAAAAUGUGCUUCAAGGUUACAUGUAAUUUGUGAAUUUUAUGUGUUUUAAGAGUGGUAUUGUCUUUGUUAUUACCAUAAAUUUGUUAUGACAAAGAGGAAGUAGAACCAUUUAGCCAAAGCUAACACAUGAACAACUAUCUGAAGUUUUAUUAUACUUUGAACACAAAAAUAUCAAAUAUUUAAAAAAGAAGUAAAAAUAGCAUAUUGAUAUGGCCAACACAACCCCAUCCACCACAUAUCACCUUUGUUUAAUACUUUCAAACCAUUUAAUUGAUCAAAGUUUUUGAGUGGAAUAAAAAUAAGAAAACAAAAAAGAUAUGUCAAAUGGGUGAGAGGUUGUGGUGGUAAUAGCAAAAACUGAAGAAACAUCAACAGAAUCCUUAAAAUAGAAAAAGUAAUUGGAAGAAAAGAACGUCCAGUUGGUUUCAAAUUUAUUGAACUGCAUACACAAGGUGACCUUUCAUAAGAACUUGAAAUUGGUUAAUUACUCAAUUAGAAAAAUUAAAGAGAAAACUGAAAAAAACCCAAGUAAUCACACCUUUGAUUUCUAUCAGAUAACUUGCAGCGCAGGCUCAUUUGUUUUUAUUUAUAAGUUGAUCUUUAAUGAUCAGCAAACAAUUCUGAUUACCUUUUCCUUUACUAUGCUUUCACCUUACCAUUGCUUUUUAAAUGUUUUUGUUCAGUAAAAAAAUUAAGUCAAUUUGGGUGAAUAUUUCAUUACAUGUUAUUAUUUUUCAUAUUAUUAUGCAUAAAUCUUGAAAAGAUGAGGAGAGAAAAAUGUUAACUUUUGGAUUUAAAAUACACAAGGAAUGCACAUGAAAAUAAAAAUAAUUGGCCUCUCAACAAAACUUCACCACCUCACAAUCUGAUCUAAUACUUAACCAAAUACUUGAAAGUCAUGCUACACAACCAUAAUUGAAUAUCCUGUUGCAUUCUAUAAAAUGAUUGGUCACAAGUAUACUACCAUUCUAUGGAAUAGAGAAUGACCAAUUUCAAAAUAAAAUUAAAAUAAAAUGAGUCCCAUAUCAACCACAGAAAGCAUAAUCAGCCCUCUGUGUGUGAGUGUGUGUGUGUAUGCAUGGGUGGACAAGUGUGCUCUUGAUAAGAAAGAAUUAAAAACUUGCAAAGAAUGUGGUAUAAUUUGCAGGCUUUCACAUCCACAAACCCUUUCCCCCUGU